UACCUACCCUUGACAUGUACGGAAUCUUGCUGAAAGGUGGGAGUGCUCGAAAGAGAGCCGUAACACAGGUGCUGCAUGGCUGUCGUCAGCUCGUGUCGUGAGAUGUUGGGUUAAGUCCCGCAACGAGCGCAACCCUUGUCCUUAGUUGCUACGCAAGAGCACUCUAAGGAGACUGCCGGUGACAAACCGGAGGAAGGUGGGGAUGACGUCAAGUCCUCAUGGCCCUUAUGGGUAGGGCUUCACACGUCAUACAAUGGUCGGUACAGAGGGCUGCCAAACCGCGAGGUGGAGCUAACCCCAGAAAACCGAUCGUAGUCCGGAUCGCAGUCUGCAACUCGACUGCGUGAAGCUGGAAUCGCUAGUAAUCGCGGAUC
RNAcentral lists this ribosomal RNA (374 nucleotides) under Pandoraea sp. 126R. RNAcentral describes it as "bacterial SSU rRNA". It matches the Rfam family "Bacterial small subunit ribosomal RNA", at positions 972 to 1350 of the family's 1533-position model. The record is from RNAcentral. Lineage: Bacteria; Pseudomonadati; Pseudomonadota; Betaproteobacteria; Burkholderiales; Burkholderiaceae.